CCUACGUGUGGCAGCAGUCGAGAAUCAUUCACAAUGGGGGAAACCCUGCUGGUGCGACGCCGCGUGGGGGAAUGAAGUUCUUCGGAUUGUAAACCCCUGUCAUGUGGGAGCAAAUUAAAAAGAUAGUACCACAAGAGGAAGAGACGGCUAACUCUGUGCCAGCAGCCGCGGUAAUACAGAGGUCUCAAGCUUUGUUCGGAAUCACUGGGCGUCAAGCGUGCGUAGGCUGUUUCGUAAGUCGUGUGUGAAAGGCGCGGGCUCAACCCGCGGACGGCCCAUGAUACUGCGAGACUAGAGUAAUGGAGGGGGAACCGGAAUGCUCGGUGUAGCAGUGAAAUGCGUAGAUAUCGAGAGGAACACUCGUGGCGAAGGCGGGUUCCUGGACAUUAACUGACGCUGAGGCACGAAGGCCAGGGGAGCGAAAGGGAUUAGAUACCCCUGUAGUC
RNAcentral lists this ribosomal RNA (446 nucleotides) under uncultured bacterium. Its description in RNAcentral is "partial 16S ribosomal RNA". It matches the Rfam family "Bacterial small subunit ribosomal RNA", at positions 338 to 795 of the family's 1533-position model. The record is from RNAcentral.